CCUGGGAACUGCGUUNUGAACUGGGUGACUAGAGUGUGUCAGAGGGAGGUAGAAUUNCACGUGUAGCAGUGAAAUGCGUAGAGAUGUGGAGGAAUACCGAUGGCGAAGGCAGCCUCCUGGGAUAACACUGACGUUCAUGCCCGAAAGCGUGGGUAGCAAACAGGAUUAGAUACCCUGGUAGUCCACGCCCUAAACGAUGUCGAUUAGCUGUUGGGCAGCAUGACUGCUUAGUAGCGAAGCUAACGCGUGAAAUCGACCGCCUGGGGAGUACGGUCGCAAGAUUAAAACUCAAAGGAAUUGACGGGGACCCGCACAAGCGGUGGAUGAUGUGGAUUAAUUCGAUGCAACGCGAAGAACCUUACCUGGUCUUGACAUGUACGGAACCCUCCAGAGACGGAGGAGUGCCUUCGGGAGCCGUAACACAGGUGCUGCAUGGCUGUCGUCAGCUCGUGUCGUGAGAUGUUGGGUUAAGUCCCGCAACGAGCGCAACCCUUGUCAUUAGUUGCCAUCAUUAAGUUGGGCACUCUAAUGAGACUGCCGGUGACAAGCCGGAGGAAGGUGGGGAUGACGUCAAGUCCUCAUGGCCCUUAUGACCAGGGCUUCACACGUCAUACAAUGGUCGGUACAGAGGGUAGCCAAGCCGCGAGGCGGAGCCAAUCUCACAAAACCGAUCGUAGUCCGGAUUGCACUCUGCAACUCGAGUGCAUGAAGUCGGAAUCGCUAGUAAUCGCAGGUCAGCAUACUGCGGUGAAUACGUUCCCGGGUCUUGUACACACCGCCCGUCACACCAUGGGAGUGGGGGAUACCAGAAGUAGGUAGGGUAACCGCAAGGAGCCCG
This 838-nucleotide ribosomal RNA is filed under the name uncultured bacterium. RNAcentral describes it as "bacterial SSU rRNA". It matches the Rfam family "Bacterial small subunit ribosomal RNA", at positions 613 to 1452 of the family's 1533-position model. The record is from RNAcentral.